UGGGGAAUUUUGGACAAUGGGGGCAACCCUGAUCCAGCCAUGCCGCGUGCGGGAAGAAGGCCUUCGGGUUGUAAACCGCUUUUGGUCGGGAAGAAAGGGCGCCGGAUAAUACCUGGCGCUGUUGACGGUACCGGCAGAAUAAGCACCGGCUAACUACGUGCCAGCAGCCGCGGUAAUACGUAGGGUGCGAGCGUUAAUCGGAAUUACUGGGCGUAAAGCGUGCGCAGGCGGUGAGUUAAGUCUGAUGUGAAAGCCCCGGGCUCAACCUGGGAAUGGCAUUGGAAACUGGCUCGCUGGAGUAUGGCAGAGGGGGGUGGAAUUCCGCGUGUAGCAGUGAAAUGCGUAGAGAUGCGGAGGAACACCGAUGGCGAAGGCAGCCCCCUGGGCCAAUACUGACGCUCAGGCACGAAAGCGUGGGGAGCAAACAGGAUUAGAUACCCGCGUAGUCC
This 449-nucleotide ribosomal RNA is filed under the name uncultured bacterium. RNAcentral's name for it is "bacterial SSU rRNA". It matches the Rfam family "Bacterial small subunit ribosomal RNA", at positions 355 to 796 of the family's 1533-position model. The record is from RNAcentral.